AGCAGCCGCGGUAAUUCCAGCUCCAAUAGCGUAUAUUAAAGUUGUUGCAGUUAAAAAGCUCGUAGUUGAAUUUCGGGAUCAGUUGGUCGGUCGUGCCUCGGUACGUACUGGUCAAAUUGAUUCCUACCUUCUGACGAACCACGAUGUCAUUAAUUUGGUGUCGCGGGAAAUCAGGACUGUUACUUUGAAAAAUUAGAGUGUUUAAAGCAGGCUCGCGCUUGAAUACAUUAGCAUGGAAUAAUGAAAUAGGACGUUUGAUUCUAUUUUGUUGGUUUCUAGGAUCGACGUAAUGAUUAAUAGGGAUAGUUGGGGGCAUUAGUAUUCAAUUGUCAGAGGUGAAAUUCUUGGAUUUAUUGAAGACUAACUACUGCGAAAGCAUUUGCCAAGGAUGUUUUCAUUAAUCAAGAACGAAAGUUAGGGGAUCGAAGACGAUCAGAUACCGUCGUAGUCUUAACCAUAAACUAUGCCGACUAGGGAUCGGAUGAUGUUAAUUUUUUAAUGACUCAUUCGGCGCCUUAAC
RNAcentral lists this unclassified non-coding RNA (520 nucleotides) under uncultured Glomus. RNAcentral's name for it is "SSU rRNA". It matches the Rfam family "Eukaryotic small subunit ribosomal RNA", at positions 569 to 1092 of the family's 1831-position model. Lineage: Eukaryota; Fungi; Glomeromycota; Glomeromycetes; Glomerales; Glomeraceae. The record is from RNAcentral.